CCUACGGGAGGCAGCAGUGGGGAAUAUUGCACAAUGGAGGGAACUCUGAUGCAGCGACGCCGCGUGAGUGAAGAAGUAAUUCGUUAUGUAAAGCUCUAUCAGCAGGGAAGAAAGUGACGGUACCUGAAAAAGAAGCUCCGGCUAAAUACGUGCCAGCAGCCGCGGUAAUACGUAUGGAGCAAGCGUUAUCCGGAUUUACUGGGUGUAAAGGGAGCGUAGACGGUUCUGCAAGUCUGAAGUGAAAGCCCGUGGCUUAACCGCGGAACGGCUUUGGAAACUGUGGAACUGGAGUGCUGGAGAGGCAAGCGGAAUUCCUAGUGUAGCGGUGAAAUGCGUAGAUAUUAGGAGGAACACCAGUGGCGAAGGCGGCUUGCUGGACAGUAACUGACGUUGAGGCUCGAAAGCGUGGGGAGCAAACAGGAUUAGAUACCCGGGUAGUC
This 440-nucleotide ribosomal RNA is filed under the name uncultured bacterium. Its description in RNAcentral is "partial 16S ribosomal RNA". It matches the Rfam family "Bacterial small subunit ribosomal RNA", at positions 338 to 795 of the family's 1533-position model. The record is from RNAcentral.